CUCCAGAAGCUUCUUAAAAGCGCUUUCUCCAGAAGCUUCUUAGAAGCGCUUUCUCCAGAAGCUUCUUAGAAGCGCUUUAGAUGUCUCGGCGACAACGGGCACGUGUCGGGCUGGGAUGAGACAACUGUUGACCGGAGAACCGGGUGGCACCGGGGAACAAAUUUCGGCGGCACGAAUAUUGGCGGACACUUGUCGCGCGAUGAUUUUUUUUAUGCAUCCAGUCAAAGUCAAUAGCCCUCAUCCAGCAGGUUUCUCUAAAAGCUUUCUUUUUAGACCUUAUUUAUUUAUUCUCUCUAAAGUAAAUUUAGCAAAGUUAAUAUGUUAAUUAGAUUUUAAAUUUGAGAUUUUGAGUGUUAAUCAUUUAUUAAGUUUUUAGUCAACUCUCUAAUUAAUUUUUUUUAUCAAUAAAAUUUAAGACUACUGCUUUUAUUUAUUUUUUUUUCUCUCUCUAGAAGGUGGGAGUGCUGGAUCAGCUUCUCUUUGUUGCUUAAAAUAGCACAUAAUUUAUGAUAGUUAUUA
This 519-nucleotide long non-coding RNA is filed under the name Ananas comosus (pineapple). Its description in RNAcentral is "long non-coding RNA (ACOM_LNC038417)". The record is from RNAcentral. Lineage: Eukaryota; Viridiplantae; Streptophyta; Magnoliopsida; Poales; Bromeliaceae.